GACGAACGCUGGCGGCGUGCCUAAUACAUGCAAGUCGAGCGAACAGACGAGGAGCUUGCUCCGCGGACGUUAGCGGCGGACGGGUGAGUAACACGUGGAUAACCUACCUAUAAUACUGGGAUAACUACGGGAAACCGGAGCUAAUACCGGAUAAUAUAUUGAACCGCAUGGUUCAAUAGUGAGAGACGGUGUUGCUGGCACUUAUAGAUGCAUCCGCGCCGUAUUAGCUGGUUGGUAAGGUAACGGCCUACCAGGGCGACGAUGCGUAGCCGACCUGAGAGGGUGAUCGGCGACACUGGAACUGAGCCGCGGUCCAGACUCCUACGGGAGGCCGCAGUCGGGUAUCUUCCGCAAUGGGCGAAAGCCUGACGGAGCAACGCCGCGUGAGUUGUGACGGUCUUCGGAUCGUGAAGCUCUGUUAUUAGGGGAGAACAAAUGUGUAAGUAACUGUGCACGUCUUGACGGUACCUGGUCAAAAAGCCACGGCUAACUACGUG
RNAcentral lists this ribosomal RNA (497 nucleotides) under uncultured bacterium. RNAcentral's name for it is "partial 16S ribosomal RNA". It matches the Rfam family "Bacterial small subunit ribosomal RNA", at positions 28 to 507 of the family's 1533-position model. The record is from RNAcentral.